GACGAACGCUGGCGGCGUGCUUAACCCAUGCAAGUCGAACGGAAAGGCCCUGCUUUUGUGGGGUGCUCGAGUGGCGAACGGGUGAGUAACACGUGAGUAACCUGCCCUUGACUUUGGGAUAACUUCAGGAAACUGGGGCUAAUACCGGAUAGGAGCUCCUGCUGCAUGGUGGGGGUUGGAAAGUUUCGGCGGUUGGGGAUGGACGCGCGGCUUAUCAGCUUGUUGGUGGGGUAGUGGCUUACCAAGGCUUUGACGGGUAGCCGGCCUGAGGGGGUGACCGGCCACAUUGGGACUGAGAGACGGCCCAGACUCCUACGGGAGGCAGCGGUGGGGAAUAUUGCACAAUGGGCGGAAGCCUGAUGCAGCAACGCCGCGUGCGGGAUGACGGCCUUCGGGUUGUAGACCGCUUUCGCCUGUGACGAAGCGUGAGUGACGGUAAUGGGUAAAGAAGCACCGGCUAACUACGUG
RNAcentral lists this ribosomal RNA (468 nucleotides) under uncultured bacterium. RNAcentral's name for it is "partial 16S ribosomal RNA". It matches the Rfam family "Bacterial small subunit ribosomal RNA", at positions 28 to 507 of the family's 1533-position model. The record is from RNAcentral.